RNAcentral lists this long non-coding RNA (1052 nucleotides) under Equus caballus (horse). RNAcentral describes it as "lncRNA (ENSECAG00000047742.1)". Lineage: Eukaryota; Metazoa; Chordata; Mammalia; Perissodactyla; Equidae. The record is from RNAcentral.
CCCACACUUAAAGUGGGGGGCAUUAGGCUCCAUCUUUUGUAGGAAGGUGUAUCCAAGAAUUUGUGAACAUCUUUUUAAACCAGCACAUUAGCUGUCAUUAGAAUUUGAAGAAAUGAGAAUUGGCUGAUUCUAAGCCUGGGGCAGAAAAUACCCGUAAUGAGGAGCCUGGAGGAUCUUUUACUAUCAAAAGAAGAGAAGUCCAAACCCACUGAUUUUUUGGGUCUCUGUAUGUGAUGUGACGUAGCAGUCUUCUGUUUGAAACUCAGGAAAGAAACAAUUGGGAUCCAAACAGUCAAAUAUGCAGGGUAUCGUUCUCAUUGGGAGAAGAAUUGUCUGAGAACCUCUAAGCCAUGCUCAUAUUGAACUUCUGAAACUGAGUCCACGACAACAUCUGGUGGGGCAAGAGCAGGGACAGUAACAAACUCCAAGUCAGGAUCACCAGUUACUUUCCUAGGAAGCCGAUAGACAGGCUUCUCAAAGCAGUAGGUACUUCUGGCAGAAAUCUCAUGUUACAAAUAUUCUUCUUUUAUUGGAAGAUGAUGGAUUUUUAAAAAUUUUUCCAGUCCUUAACAUCCACUAUGUUGCCAUGCAAUAUGAUGGGGUUGUUUUCAUAUACUCCCAACAGAUCUCUAUACCACCUAGGUGCACACUUGUAACUCUCGCUGUUAAAGUCAAAAAUUUUAGUCGCACACUUGCUUUGGAUACUUUGUAGUCCUCCUUAUCUGCAGUUUCACUUUCCGCAGUUUCAAUUAUCCUGAGGUCAACUGCAGUCCAAAAAUAUUAAAUGGAAAAUUACAGAAAUAAAUAAUUCAUAAGUUUUAAAUUGCGAACCAUUCUGACUAGCAUGAUGAAAUUUCGUGCCAUCCUGUUCCAUCCUGCCCAGAUGUGAAUCAUCUCUGUGUCCAGUGGAUCCACGCUGUAUAUGCUACCUGCCCAUCUGUCACUUAGUAGUGUCUCCAUUAUCAGAUCAACCGUCGUGAUGUCACAGUACUUGUGUUCAAGUCACCCUUAUUUUACUUAAUAAUGGCCCCAAAGCACAAGAGUAGUAAUGC